CCUCACCCACCGCCAUUUUUUUUAAUUCGUGAGGGGGGUGCAGACGCCGGAAAAUUUAUUUUUGUUGCUCAAUUAACGACGAGGACGACGAGGAGGAGGACGACCCGCUAGGAGUGUGAGGUCGCCACUUUUGAGAGAAAGCGUGAGCCAAUCGGAGGCAAGUUCAGGGGGCAAGGGUCGCGAAAUUUCAGAAUUUGUCGAUGGCCGCCUCGAAGGCCUCCACUUAGGCUGCGACUUUAACCAUUUAACUUUACAACUUUAAACAUUAAACUACAAAUAAACAACGACUAUACAACAGCUAUACAACGACGACUAAACAACAGCACAACAACAACAACAACUUCUCCGGCGAUGUCUACGAUGGACAAAGAGAACUCGCGCGCCUCAGCUGCCCAAGCGCCGGCAGCCCCCCCCUCGCGGCCGCGGCUCGUGACGCCGGUGCGCCGCUCGGCGCGGAUCCACGCGGCGGGGGGGGCGGUGGGGG
Molecule: non-coding RNA, 484 nt
Organism: Petromyzon marinus (sea lamprey)
Lineage: Eukaryota; Metazoa; Chordata; Hyperoartia; Petromyzontiformes; Petromyzontidae
Source: RefSeq, a predicted model, not a curated record